UGAAAGAUUAAUUGAUGCGUAUAUGGUGGAGAGAAGAUAAUUUAUGGGUUAUGGGUUAGGGAUUCAAUUGCAGAUUUCGAUUGCAGGAAGAUGAGUUCGAUUCUUAGGGUUUGAAGGAAUUCGAUUGAAGAAGAUGAUUUUGUUACCUUUGGAUAUUAGGGUUUAUAGAUGAGAUCGUGUGCUCAAGAUUUUUGUGGAAGAACUGAUUUUAGUGCGCUGAAGUUUUGAUCUCAGUUUUGAUUUUGUUUUUCUAUAAUUUCUGUUUU
RNAcentral lists this long non-coding RNA (266 nucleotides) under Trifolium pratense (red clover). Its description in RNAcentral is "long non-coding RNA (TPRA_LNC008062)". Lineage: Eukaryota; Viridiplantae; Streptophyta; Magnoliopsida; Fabales; Fabaceae. The record is from RNAcentral.